UUGCUCUUUAACAAUCUGGAACAAGCUGAAAAUUCGAAAAYACUCGGAUUGCUUUUAAUAAAGUGAUCCGAGAGUCUCUCAAAUGCUUACAGCACGAAGUGAAACACCUUCGGGUUGUGA
RNAcentral lists this small RNA (120 nucleotides) under Edwardsiella ictaluri. Its description in RNAcentral is "partial short 16S-23S intergenic spacer". It matches the Rfam family "Salmonella enterica Typhi npcRNA 44". Lineage: Bacteria; Pseudomonadati; Pseudomonadota; Gammaproteobacteria; Enterobacterales; Hafniaceae. The record is from RNAcentral.